GCUCCAGACUCCUACGGGAGGCAGCAGUGGGGAAUAUUGCGCAAUGGGGGAAACCCUGACGCAGCAACGCCGCGUGAGUGAAGAAGUAUCUCGGUAUGUAAAGCUCUAUCAGCGGGGAAGAAGGAAGACGGUACCCGACUAAGAAGCCCCGGCUAACUACGUGCCAGCAGCCGCGGUAAUACGUAGGGGGCGAGCGUUAUCCGGAUUUACUGGGUGUAAAGGGCGUGUAGGCGGGAAAGCAAGUCAGAUGUGAAAACCAUGGGCUCAACCUGUGGCCUGCAUUUGAAACUGUUUUUCUUGAGUACUGGAGAGGCAGACGGAAUUCCUAGUGUAGCGGUGAAAUGCGUAGAUAUUAGGAGGAACACCAGUGGCGAAGGCGGCUUACUGGACUGUAACUGACGUUGAGGCUCGAAAGCGUGGGGAGCAAACAGGAUUAGAUACCCCCGUAAA
Molecule: ribosomal RNA, 450 nt
Filed under: uncultured bacterium
Lineage: Bacteria
Description: bacterial SSU rRNA
Rfam family: Bacterial small subunit ribosomal RNA
Source: RNAcentral